Molecule: long non-coding RNA, 261 nt
Filed under: Sorghum bicolor (sorghum)
Lineage: Eukaryota; Viridiplantae; Streptophyta; Magnoliopsida; Poales; Poaceae
Description: long non-coding RNA (SBIC_LNC017077)
Source: RNAcentral
AAAAGUAGAAGAAUAUCAUACUCAGGGAGAGUAUUCUAAACUGAGAGAUCCUGCCUCUUUGCGAAUGAAUAGAGGUCGGGGAACUAGAUACUUAGUGGUUGCUCGUCAAAACAAUCUUCCCGAAGACUAAUUGAGGAACAAUUAACAGGAGUACAUUUAGCAAUUCCUCUAUAUGAAAUGUUAAGCUUCAAAAUAUCCAAACCAAAAUAACCUUUUAUGGGGGAUAGGUGGGGCACUUUUGAUGCAUAAUAAGAAUCCCUA